This 513-nucleotide ribosomal RNA is filed under the name uncultured bacterium. RNAcentral's name for it is "bacterial SSU rRNA". It matches the Rfam family "Bacterial small subunit ribosomal RNA", at positions 28 to 556 of the family's 1533-position model. The record is from RNAcentral.
GACGAACGCUGGCGGCGCGCCUCAUACAUGCAAGUCGAACGUGAAGCCCGGAGCUUGCUCCGGGUGGAAAGUGGCGAACGGGUGAGGAACACGUGAGGAACCUGCCCCGAAGACUGGGAUAACACCGGGAAACCGGUGCUAAUACCGGAUGCCCUCACCGGAUCUCAUGUUCCGGUGAGGAAAUGGAUUCCGCUUCGGGAUGGCCUCGCGGCCUAUCAGCUUGUUGGUGGGGUAACGGCCCACCAAGGCUUCGACGGGUAGCUGGUCUGAGAGGAUGUCCAGCCACACUGGGACUGAGACACGGCCCAGACUCCUACGGGAGGCAGCAGUAGGGAAUCUUGCGCAAUGAGCGAAAGCUUGACGCAGCGACGCCGCGUGCGGGAUGAAGGCCCUCGGGUCGUAAACCGCUUUCAGCAGGGACGAAAUUGACGGUACCUGCAGAAGAAGGCCCGGCCAACUACGUGCCAGCAGCCGCGGUAAUACGUAGGGGCCAAGCGUUGUCCGGAUUUAGUU